Molecule: unclassified non-coding RNA, 306 nt
Filed under: uncultured fungus
Lineage: Eukaryota; Fungi
Description: partial contains small subunit ribosomal RNA, internal transcribed spacer 1, and 5.8S ribosomal RNA
Rfam family: Eukaryotic small subunit ribosomal RNA (bases 1-73)
Source: RNAcentral
UCAAACUUGGUCAUUUAGAGGAAGUAAAAGUCGUAACAAGGUCUCCGUUGGUGAACCAGCGGAGGGAUCAUUACCGAGUUUUCACAACUCCCAACCCUUGCGAACCGUACCCAAUUUAGUUCUCGUUGCUUUCGGCGGGCGGGAGGGGGGCGCCCGUAACACGGCGCCCUUUCCUCCCCUCGCCGGGGGCGGCGGGCUCUCUGAACCUUUAUUUUAAACAACUAGACCUUCUGAGAAAAAAAACAAAAAUAUAUCAAAACUUUCAACAACGGAUCUCUUGGCUCUGGCAUCGAUGAAGAACGCAGC